AAGUGCGAUCAUACCAGCACUAAUGCACGAGAUCCCAUCAAAACUCCGCAGGGAAGCGUGCUUGGGCGAGAGUAGUACUAGGAUGGGUUAAGUCUUGGGAAGUCCUCGUGGGACACCUU
Molecule: ribosomal RNA, 119 nt
Filed under: Vigna radiata var. radiata (mung bean)
Lineage: Eukaryota; Viridiplantae; Streptophyta; Magnoliopsida; Fabales; Fabaceae
Source: RNAcentral